AGGAAGGCUCAGGAGGAGGGAAGAUCCCGGUUGUGGUGCAAGAGAGCUGGUGGACACUAGCCUGCAGCUGCCCCCAACACAAGGGAGAGAGCCUGUGAAUGGAAGAGAGGGGCAGAGGGAGUGAGAGAGAGAAUCUUAAGCAGGCUCCACACUCAACACAGAGCCUGAUGCGGAGCUCGAUCCCAUGACUGUGAGAUCAUGACCUGAGAUGAAAUCAAGAGUUGGAUGCUUAACCCGCUGAGCCACCCAGGUGCCCCUAAAUUCUAAAUUCUUGACUCCUUUUUAAGAGUUAUUUAUCUAGCUAAUGAUCUAGUUUUUAAGAAAAGAAUCUUUGUUUUCAUUGGGCAAACAUGUAUUUAUGCUUUUGGAUUUAUUAAUUCUGCACUUCUUUCUUUGUUACUUCACUUUUUUGUCUUUUGCUUCUUGAGUUGCAUGCUCAAUGGAUCCAUUUCAUUAAACUUUUCCCCUAA
Long non-coding RNA from Neofelis nebulosa (Clouded leopard), 470 nucleotides. RefSeq lists it as uncharacterized. The record is from RefSeq and is a predicted model, not a curated record. NCBI's taxonomy places the organism in Eukaryota, Metazoa, Chordata, Mammalia, Carnivora, Felidae. The transcript has 2 exons.